This 248-nucleotide non-coding RNA is filed under the name Pediococcus cellicola. RNAcentral's name for it is "T-box sequence". It matches the Rfam family "T-box leader". Rfam says of the family: Uncharged tRNA acts as the effector for transcription antitermination of genes in the T-box leader family. T-boxes are found upstream of many aminoacyl-tRNA synthetase genes and some amino acid biosynthetic genes usually in Gram-positive bacteria. The record is from RNAcentral. Lineage: Bacteria; Bacillati; Bacillota; Bacilli; Lactobacillales; Lactobacillaceae.
AAAUGAACAAUGAAAAGAUGAGUAGUUAAAAGAUUGACUUGUAGAGAGGUCCUGAGUUGGUGUAAAGGGCUACAAUUGCUUAACGAAGAUGGUCUUGGAGAGAAACGUUGUUGAGCCUAUUGCCAGGCAGCGUUGGGUACGCCCAUUAUUGCGUGAAGUAUCGCAAGCUUGCUUGCCGUACUUUUUAAGUCAUUUAGUGUGAACUAAAUGAAAAAUAAGGUGGUACCACGAGAUCAAUCGUCCUUGGA